UUUUUUUUUUCUUUUUCCUUUUUUUUUUUGCCUUUUCUAGGGCUGCUUCCUGCUGCAUAUGGAAGUUCCCAAUGCAGCCAUUAAAAAAAAAAAAAAUCCAGACUUAGGCAUGGCCAAAAAAAUACCCCAAAACACUAUAGGCAAAGUCGAAAGUCAAACAAUGAAGUAGGAAAAAGAAGUGCACGCAUAUCACUAACAACGUUAUAAUCACCCAAAUAUAUAAAGAAGUCUUUAUAUAUCAAGAAGAAAAACAACAAUAUCCCAAUAGAAAAGUAAGCCAAGGGUACAGUCAAUUCACCAAACAAGUAAUACAAAAGAAGUAACAUGAACAGGUGCCUAACUGCACUCAUAACAAGAGAAAUGUAAAUUAAAACUGUCCUGUAAUACCCUUUUUCACCUAUCUGAUUGGCAAAAAUCCAAAUGUUUGACAAUGCGGUCUGGUGGUGAGGCUGUGGGGAAAUAGGCAGUCUCACAUGUUGCUAAUGAGAAGAAAAACAGAGGGCAAAAUCUGUCCAAAGGACAUAUGCAUGUACCUUUUAACCCAGCAAUCCCACUUCCGGAAGUUUAUCUUUAGCUAUAACUGCACACACAAAAUGAUGUACAUACAAGGGUAACUGUUUCAAGGAGUCCAUAAGGAGCCUUCUUUAACACAUUUACUUCCAUCUGCUAGAAAUCUGCAUGACAAACUUAUAAGAUCUGUGCUAAAAACAGCACUUUUGUGCAGUGCACAACUUGCACUACUGUCCCUGGCAUUCCCUAAUAACAGCAUGUGUUGUAAUGGCACAAGAAUGAGAACAAAGCAAGUGUCCAUCAACAGGGAGUAAUCAAAUAAACUAUAAUAUAUACACAAACUGGAAUACUGGAUAGCUGCAAAAAAAAAAAAUCAUAAUCAGGAUAUGCCCCGUAUCUCCAGAAUAAUAAUUAAUUAAUAAUUAUUAUCACUUAAUAAUAAUUAAGUGAUAUAGGCUAAUGUAUAUAGUUUAUUGCCUAUUAUAUAAGAGGAAAAUAACAAUAUCUGGAGAAAAUGAUAGGAUACAAAUAAACUAAUGCUCACCACAGUGGGAAUGAGGUAGCACAGGUAGAAAAAGGGGCAGGAAUGAGACCUCACUUCAUACUUUGUUGCACUUAACUUUUUAAAUUACGUGAAUGUUAUUAUUUAUUUAAAAAUGAAGCCAAUGCAUCUUUAAAAUUACAGGUUGUAACUGUGUGAAACAGAUAUUGAGCUACAUAAUGCUAUGUACAUGACAUCAAAUCUUGGGAUGUGUGAAGCCCUGAAUAGUUGGGAGGGAGGGAGGGAUCGCUUCCCAUUUUUUAAAAAAAGUCAUAACUGAAAGUUAUACCUUUUUACCAGCCUCUCCCUAUUUCCCCCACAUCCCUCCUCAUGGAAACCACUCUGUUUUCUACUCUCUGUUUCUGUGAGUUUGACUUUUUCUUUUUAGAUUCCACUGAAAUGACACCAUGCAGUGUUCGUCUUUCUUUGGCUGGCUUUAUUUCGCUUAGCAUAACACCCUCCAGGUUCAUCCAUGUUGUUGCAAAUAGAAGGAUUUCCUUUUUUUUUUUUCUUUUUAAAGCUGAAUAAUAUUUCACUGUGUGUGGACAUAUAUACACACACGUACAUACCACAUCUUCUUUAUCCAUUCAUCCUUUUUUUUUUUUUUUGGCCAUGCCUGCUGCAUGUGGAAGUUCCAGGGCCAGGGAUUGAACCUGAGCCACAGCAGCGACCCAAGCCAAACAGUGACAAAGCCAGAUCCUUAACCUGCCGAGCCACCAGGGCACUUCUUCAUUCAUCCACUGACAGCCACUUAGGCUAUUUUCACACCUUGGCUAUUGUGAAUAAUGAUGCAAUGAACU
Molecule: long non-coding RNA, 1851 nt
Filed under: Sus scrofa (pig)
Lineage: Eukaryota; Metazoa; Chordata; Mammalia; Artiodactyla; Suidae
Description: lncRNA (ENSSSCG00015075269.1)
Source: RNAcentral